GUACGAGAGGACCGGAGUGGACGCAUCACUGGUGUUCGGGUUGUCAUGCCAAUGGCACUGCCCGGUAGCUAAAUGCGGAAGAGAUAAGUGCUGAAAGCAUCUAAGCACGAAACUUGCCCCGAGAUGAGUUCUCCCUGAGACUUUAGGUCUCCUGAAGGAACGUUGAAGACGACGACGUUGAUAGGCCGGGUGUGUAAGCGCAGCGAUGCGUUGAGCUAACCGGUACUAAUGAACCGUGAGGCUUAACCUUACAACGCCGAAG
This 262-nucleotide ribosomal RNA is filed under the name Salmonella enterica. RNAcentral's name for it is "partial 23S ribosomal RNA". It matches the Rfam family "Bacterial large subunit ribosomal RNA", at positions 2681 to 2925 of the family's 2925-position model. Lineage: Bacteria; Pseudomonadati; Pseudomonadota; Gammaproteobacteria; Enterobacterales; Enterobacteriaceae. The record is from RNAcentral.